Molecule: ribosomal RNA, 482 nt
Filed under: uncultured bacterium
Lineage: Bacteria
Description: bacterial SSU rRNA
Rfam family: Bacterial small subunit ribosomal RNA
Source: RNAcentral
AUUGAACGCUGGCGGAAUGCUUUACACAUGCAAGUCGAACGGUAGAGGGGGCAACCCCUCGAGAGUGGCGAACGGGUGAGUAAUAUAUCGGAACGUGCCCAGUCGUGGGGGAUAACGUAGCGAAAGUUACGCUAAUACCGCAUACGAUCUACGGAUGAAAGCGGGGGAUCGCAAGACCUCGCGCGAUUGGAGCGGCCGAUAUCAGAUUAGGUAGUUGGUGGGGUAAAGGCUCACCAAGCCAACGAUCUGUAGCUGGUCUGAGAGGACGACCAGCCACACUGGAACUGAGACACGGUCCAGACUCCUACGGGAGGCAGCAGUGGGGAAUUUUGGACAAUGGACGCAAGUCUGAUCCAGCCAUUCCGCGUGCAGGAUGAAGGCCCUCGGGUUGUAAACUGCUUUUGUUACGGAACGAAAAAGGUCUCUCCUAAUACGAGGGCUCAUGACGGUACCGUAAGAAUAAGACACCGGCUAACUACGUG